RNAcentral lists this ribosomal RNA (492 nucleotides) under uncultured bacterium. RNAcentral describes it as "partial 16S ribosomal RNA". It matches the Rfam family "Bacterial small subunit ribosomal RNA", at positions 29 to 507 of the family's 1533-position model. The record is from RNAcentral.
AGUGAACGCUGGCGGUAGGCCUAACACAUGCAAGUCGAACGGCAGCACAGUAAGAGCUUGCUCUUACGGGUGGCGAGUGGCGGACGGGUGAGGAAUACAUCGGAAUCUACUUUUUCGUGGGGGAUAACGUAGGGAAACUUACGCUAAUACCGCAUACGACCUACGGGUGAAAGCAGGGGAUCUUCGGACCUUGCGCGAUUGAAUGAGCCGAUGUCGGAUUAGCUAGUUGGCGGGGUAAAGGCCCACCAAGGCGACGAUCCGUAGCUGGUCUGAGAGGAGGAUCAGCCACACUGGAACGGAGACACGGUCCAGACUCCUACGGGAGGCAGCAGUGGGGAAUAUUGGGCAAUGGGCGCAAGCCUGAUCCAGCCAUACCGCGUGGGUGAAGAAGGCCUUCGGGUUGUAAAGCCCUUCUGUUGGGAAAGAAAAGCAGCAGGCUAAUACCCCGCUGUUCUGACGGUACCCAAAGAAUAAGCACCGGCUAACUUCGUG